AACGGUCUCCUGUGUGUAAGGGCUCCCCGGUUCUCCAGGGAAGGUUCAGUCUCUUGAUUUGACUGCCUCUCUCUGCUUGCCUGCAGUCUUCUCCGCCUCCUACUGAUGGAGACCCCUUGCUUAGCAAGCUAGCAAGUAGCACAAAAAUGGCAGGAGAGGAUGCGUGAUGAGCGGCAUCUUACGACGUCACUGUUUCAGCACCGCGGACAGCAUGACGCCUGGACAGUUGUGUUGGCAACCCUGCAGCUCCAUCACCAUCCACAGAGGGGCAGUGCAGCAGUUUGCAGCCACUGUGGACCUGGGAGAGAAAAUGACAUAAAAGUGGGGAUAAAUCAGGAAAACCGGCACACAUGAAGAAGAGUCAGACCCAUUUAUGCUGUGAUUUUCUGGACACGACCGUCCCUGACACCGGAUAGAUGAGGCUAAUCUCAGCCGCAGGCAGACUGUCAGACAGCUUUGCUGAAGCUCUGGGUGUAAAAUGGCGCUUGGCUGCCCUG
This is a long non-coding RNA of Etheostoma cragini (Arkansas darter), 497 nucleotides long. RefSeq lists it as uncharacterized. NCBI's taxonomy places the organism in Eukaryota, Metazoa, Chordata, Actinopteri, Perciformes, Percidae. The record is from RefSeq and is a predicted model, not a curated record. The transcript is spliced from 3 exons.